This 207-nucleotide long non-coding RNA is filed under the name Elaeis guineensis (African oil palm). Its description in RNAcentral is "long non-coding RNA (EGUI_LNC017803)". The record is from RNAcentral. Lineage: Eukaryota; Viridiplantae; Streptophyta; Magnoliopsida; Arecales; Arecaceae.
CCAACAUAACCUUAACUCGUUUCUCUGCUUAAGGCACCAGUGAAAGUAUCGACUAGUGCCGGCAAAGAGCUGAGGCUAAGGCUAUAUUGCAUAAGAUGUGCAACAAACGGCUAGCAUCGGAAUGGGAAGUGGCAGGUAAUGAAUGCAUGCUCUAAUUCUUCCUGCCGACCAUGACAUAAGUCACAAUAGACACUAACUACUGCGGCA